GUAACGCGUGAGAACAUGCCUAUUGAUUGGGGACAACAGUUGGAAACGACUGCUAAUACCGAAUGUGCCGAAAGGUGAAAGAUUUAUCGUCAAUAGAUUGGCUCGCGUCAGAUUAGGUAGUAGGUGAGGUAAAGGCUCACCUAGCCUGCGAUCUGUACUUGGUCUGAGAGGAUGGCCAGGCACACUGGAACUGAGACACGGUCCAGACUCCUACGGGAGGCAGCAGUGGGGAAUUUUCCGCAAUGGGCGAAAGCCUGACGGAGCAAUACCGCGUGAGGGAGGACGGCUUUUGGGUUGUAAACCUCUUUUAUCAGGGAAGAAUCGAUGACGGUACCUGAUGAAUCAGCAUCGGCUAACUCCGUGCCAGCAGCCGCGGUAAUACGGAGGAUGCAAGCGUUAUCCGGAAUUAUUGGGCGUAAAGCGUCCGUAGGUGGCUUGUCAAGUCUGCUGUCAAAGCGUGCGGCUUAACCGCAUAAGGGCAGUGGAAACUGACGAGCUAGAGUGCGAUAGGGGUAACAGGAAUUCCCAGUGUAGCGGUGAAAUGCGUAGAUAUUGGGAAGAACACCAGCGGCGAAAGCGUGUUACUGGGUCUGCACUGACACUGAGGGACGAAAGCUAGGGGAGCGAAAGGGAUUAGAUACCCCUGUUCUCACGCGUUAUC
Molecule: ribosomal RNA, 661 nt
Filed under: Leptolyngbya sp. PUPCCC 112.9
Lineage: Bacteria; Bacillati; Cyanobacteriota; Cyanophyceae; Leptolyngbyales; Leptolyngbyaceae
Description: bacterial SSU rRNA
Rfam family: Bacterial small subunit ribosomal RNA
Source: RNAcentral